AUGGAGAUGAAGGCCAGGGUGACCGGCGGCACGGCGUCACCGAUGGAGAAGAAGAGGUCGGAGAGGGAGAGGAGGCAGCGCAUGAAGGCGCUCUGCGAGAAGCUCGCGUCCCUCAUCCCAAAAGAACACUCCCCCCACGCUCUAGGCAGCCUGGAUGCGGCGGCAUCAUACAUCAAGAAGCUCAAGGAACGGGUCGAUGAUCUACAACACAAGAAGGCCUCUGCACAAGCCAUGGCUACCUUACUGGGAGUUAGUGGCAUCUCGACGCCCACUAUCACUGCUACCAAGAGCAGCGGUGCGGGGUCACCAGAAGGAGGAAAAAAAUUGGAGGCAGCACCACGGGUAGUGGAGGUGCGGCAAUAUGACGAUGCAAGCAUGGAGGUGAGGCUGAUAUGCAGCACGGAGAGGCCUAUCAAGCUCCAUGAGGUGGUCACCAUUCUUGAGGAAGAAGGGGCCGUCAUCAUUAACGCUAAUUACUUUGUUGCAUUCGACAGAAUAUUCUACACUAUACACUCCCGGGCUUUCAGCACCAGAAUUGGCAUAGACGUUUCAAGAAUUUCCGAACGAAUGCGGGCAUUGGUGUGA
This 585-nucleotide ribosomal RNA is filed under the name Triticum aestivum (bread wheat). RNAcentral's name for it is "partial small subunit ribosomal RNA". The record is from RNAcentral. Lineage: Eukaryota; Viridiplantae; Streptophyta; Magnoliopsida; Poales; Poaceae.